CUGAAACAUAAUAGCGGUAAAUACCGUAUAUUCAUGAUCUUUUUCAAUCUCAUCAUUUCAACACCUUCGUCACUACCACUUCCCAUUCUCAGUUUGAACGUAUACGUUUAACAUGUAAACCUCAUAAAGCUCAAAUAUUAAUUACAAAUAUCCUUAAAUCAUCGUCGGUUUCCAUUCCACCACAUCUACACCUUAUAUAGUCGCUUUGAUCGUCCUCAAAUUGCAGCCACCGCUCUCGCCGGAAACUUGCUCACCGCCUUCAACAGCAGGCCAUCCUGAUCUCUCCCGGCCAGUUGAAACCACUCCGACGGCAUGUGGACGUUGGGGAGCACGACCCAUAGAAGCCUCUGUGGACCUCGCCGGAGUUGUGGAUCUCGCCGGGGCAAGCGCUAUCCACAGGCCAAUCUUGACUCGCCGUGUUUCCCUCCAAGCCGAUCUAUACCCGGAGCUGCUUGAUUCGACCUCCGCCGUUUCUGCUCAAAACAGAUCUAAGAAACCCCCGCUUCGAUCUUGCCGUCCUCUAGCAAAACAAUGAAGAGGAGAGAACCAGAUCUGUGCUCGCUUCCAUAGCUUCAGCCGUUUCAUAUGCAGCUCCGUCGGACUCCACACCACACACGGCCGGAGAAGGAGAGGGGGUUUCAGAGAAGACAUGCAACCAAAAACUUCAGUUCAGCACCGCCGAAAUACACAGAAAAAAAACGAAGAGGACAAGCCCUCUCCGCCGUCGGCUUAUGUGGUGGAGGUUUGUUCAAAGGUUUGGAAGUUCAUCACAAAAAGAGCCAUGAUUGUCAUAUCUUUCUUCGUCUGUACAUAGAUUUGCUCAUGCUUCUUGAUUUGAUUUCAAAAGUGAAACGUCUCUCAUGAAUUCUUUUUUUUUACUGUAGCUCAUUGUAUCGAGAUUCACAUGAUCAAAAGUAUGAAGAAGGGAAGAAAUUAUCUCUCAUCUGGUGAUUACUUAACUUAUAGAAAGAGUCACUUUUGAAAUGUUUUUCAGUUCAGUCUAUGUUAUAAUUGUUAGCUGUACAGAUUGUUAGUUGCUUCACACUACCACUCCAACGGUUAAGUUAGAACCGACAAGUAAAGAAAAAGCUGGAGCAGUUAUAUUCAGAUUUUGUGAGGCGCAAAAGAAUACACAUGAACAGAAACAGUGAUAUAACAUUGGGUGGCAGAGGUGAGAAGCUGCAGAGAAAACAGAGCCGAGAGUCACCAUUGGGUGGCCAACUUAUCUUGAGAGGAAAAGAAGAGAGGCUCAAGAGAGCCAAGUGAAUGAUCAACAAAAUUUGGAGGAACAAAAAUGAAUAGAGACUGACUAGGGAGAUUCUCUUGCAUCUUGCAAGGAGAAUGGUCUUAGUUUUGGUUUAUAAUCCGGAGUCGUGGUUCAUGAAGAAUAUAUUCAAAGAGAAUCUUAGUGUUGGUGGUCAUUAUACUCUAUAAAAACAUGCAUGUGAGAAACGAAGUGGAUCAAAUCAAAACCAGAACUGAGGACUGAAAGAAAAGAGGGCGAUGGAAUCUGAGAAAAAAAAAGUAACGAGACACCUCAAAUAGAACACUCGACUGAUACUUUGGACGCAAUAAACUGAUGUGUAGUGAAAAUUACGUUGAUUAUCUACUUUUACUAUAAAUAAGGACAUUUAGAAUUUUCGAGUUGA
Molecule: long non-coding RNA, 1649 nt
Organism: Brassica napus (rape)
Lineage: Eukaryota; Viridiplantae; Streptophyta; Magnoliopsida; Brassicales; Brassicaceae
Exons: 2
Source: RefSeq, a predicted model, not a curated record